This 527-nucleotide ribosomal RNA is filed under the name uncultured Gammaproteobacteria bacterium. RNAcentral describes it as "bacterial SSU rRNA". It matches the Rfam family "Bacterial small subunit ribosomal RNA", at positions 8 to 524 of the family's 1533-position model. The record is from RNAcentral. Lineage: Bacteria; Pseudomonadati; Pseudomonadota; Gammaproteobacteria.
AGAGUUUGAUCCUGGCUCAGAGUGAACGCUGGCGGCGUGCCUAACACAUGCAAGUCGAACGGAAACAGAAGGUAGCUUGCUACUUUGCUGUCGAGUGGCGGACGGGUGAGUAAUGCUUGGGAAUAUGCCAAAACGUGGGGGACAACAGUUGGAAACGACUGCUAAUACCGCAUAAUGUCUUCGGACCAAAGCAGGGGACCUUCGGGCCUUGCGCGUUUUGAUUAGCCCAAGUGGGAUUAGCUAGUUGGUAAGGUAAUGGCUUACCAAGGCGACGAUCCCUAGCUGGUCUUAGAGGAUGACCAGCCACACUGGAACUGAGACACGGUCCAGACUCCUACGGGAGGCAGCAGUGGGGAAUAUUGCACAAUGGGGGAAACCCUGAUGCAGCCAUGCCGCGUGUGUGAAGAAGGCUUUCGGGUUGUAAAGCACUUUCAGUGGGGAGGAAAGGGUUGUAGUUAAUAACUGCAAUCUGUGACGUUACCCACAGAAGAAGCACCGGCUAACUCCGUGCCAGCAGCCGCGGUAAU